Molecule: non-coding RNA, 114 nt
Organism: Acanthosepion pharaonis
Lineage: Eukaryota; Metazoa; Mollusca; Cephalopoda; Sepiida; Sepiidae
Source: the annotation of a GenBank genome assembly
UACAGCCAUAUAGCGUUGAACACACCUGUUCCCGUACGGUCACCGAAGUUAAACAACGUUGAGCUUGGUCAGUACCUAAAUUGGUGACCACUUGGGAAUACGAGGUGCUGUAAG